This 253-nucleotide ribosomal RNA is filed under the name uncultured bacterium. Its description in RNAcentral is "partial 16S ribosomal RNA". It matches the Rfam family "Bacterial small subunit ribosomal RNA", at positions 524 to 776 of the family's 1533-position model. The record is from RNAcentral.
GACGUAGGGUGCGAGCGUUGUCCGGAAUCACUGGGCGUAAAGGGCGCGUAGGCGGCCGGAGAAGUCGGUGGUGAAAGCCCGUGGCUCAACUGCGGGUCGGCCAUCGAUACUCUUUGGCUCGAGUUUGGUAGAGGCAGAUGGAAUUCCGGGUGUAGCGGUGGAAUGCGUAGAGAUCCGGAAGAACACCGGUGGCGAAGGCGGUCUGCUGGGCCAAGACUGACGCUGAGGCGCGACAGCGUGGGGAGCAAACAGG